Molecule: long non-coding RNA, 367 nt
Filed under: Dromaius novaehollandiae (emu)
Lineage: Eukaryota; Metazoa; Chordata; Aves; Casuariiformes; Dromaiidae
Description: lncRNA (ENSDNVG00000018315.1)
Source: RNAcentral
UAAAAAGUUGACGAGUGAUUUUUUUUUUUUCUGGCCCUACUUUUAAACUGCCGUCUGAACAGCACUUACUGUGAUACRCUAUGCAGCCGUAGGUUCUCUCUUUUUGUUAGUUUGUACAAAUUUCCCUUUUCUUUGUUCCUAGAGGUGAAUUCUAGUGAAUUUUUCUCUCUACAUGAGAGGAGAAAGUGAGAUGAGAAGAGAGCCUAUGGAUCAGCAAGAGAAAAGGAGAAGGGGGAAAAAAGCAUCAUACAAACUGUAUGCAUAACCAGCCAGAUUUAUUGCUCAGAGAGACAGUACCUUUUGCUGAGUCCAGCAUAUGGCCAACAGGAGCUAUGUCAGGUAAGGAAUACAACCUUUAAUUUUUUAC